AUAUGUUCAGUUUUAUAUGAUGUUAAUUGUAUAUUUUCAUGUUUAGGUCAGUAUAAGUAUUUUUAAAUUUUUCAUCCAUAUAAAUAAGAAAUGUGCUUUGUUCCUUUUACUAAAAUUUGCUUAUUUGUGAUAUUAAUUGACAAUCUAAAAAAGUAUCUCAACAGGAAAAUAAAUUGUUGCAGAUCAAAGAUUUUAAAGUUAUGAUAUAUGUACCGGUAUACAAAUAAAGCAAUCAAGAUUUUGUUUCUGUCCAUAUGACAAUUGAUACACAAGGAACCAUAUGCUGUCAAACAGUUACACAUUGUGGUGAAGUCAUUACCUAGGAAAUAAGCCAA
This 335-nucleotide long non-coding RNA is filed under the name Mytilus galloprovincialis (Mediterranean mussel). Lineage: Eukaryota; Metazoa; Mollusca; Bivalvia; Mytilida; Mytilidae. The record is from RNAcentral.